GCUCCCUGGUGAUGUGGAGCUAGCGCUGACAGUGGAGGAGAGACGCCAGCACUAGCGAUUAGCAUGAGCUUCCAGGGGGCACCGCAACGGCUGCUGGAAAAUUCCAUCAGAGGCACGAAUCUGUCGCUUCGUCGUAAAGUGACAGCCCCCUGUGGCUCAGCACAGCACAGUAAGAAGAGUCCCAAGUGAGCCUCAGCAUCUGCCGGCUGGAGAAGGUGCGCUGUGAUGUUAUGAUCACCAGUGGAGAGGGAUAUACACAGGGGCUCGCCUGUCUGGAAAAAUAAGCUGAACCACCCACCACAAACGGACCAAGCAGCGGGGUAACAGGGAGCAGAGGUUGAUGGACUCAUGGACAUGGGAGGAGAUAUUGGACGG
Molecule: long non-coding RNA, 375 nt
Organism: Oncorhynchus tshawytscha (Chinook salmon)
Lineage: Eukaryota; Metazoa; Chordata; Actinopteri; Salmoniformes; Salmonidae
Source: Ensembl